AUUAAAAUAGCUUAAUUUAAAGCAUAACUUUGAAGAAGUUAAUAUAGAUGUUUAAUUCUUUUUAAUA
RNAcentral lists this transfer RNA (67 nucleotides) under Tessaromerus quadriarticulatus. Its description in RNAcentral is "tRNA-Phe". It matches the Rfam family "tRNA". From Rfam's summary of the family: Transfer RNA (tRNA) molecules are approximately 80 nucleotides in length. Their secondary structure includes four short double-helical elements and three loops (D, anti-codon, and T loops). Lineage: Eukaryota; Metazoa; Arthropoda; Insecta; Hemiptera; Urostylididae. The record is from RNAcentral.